Molecule: ribosomal RNA, 306 nt
Filed under: uncultured bacterium
Lineage: Bacteria
Description: partial 16S ribosomal RNA
Rfam family: Bacterial small subunit ribosomal RNA
Source: RNAcentral
GACAGCAGUCGCCACGGGAAUACGUAGGGUGCAAGCGUUAAUCGGAAUUACUGGGCGUAAAGCGUGCGCAGGCGGUUAUAUAAGACAGAUGUGAAAUCCCCGGGCUCAACCUGGGAACUGCAUUUGUGACUGUAUAGCUAGAGUACGGCAGAGGGGGAUGGAAUUCCGCGUGUAGCAGUGAAAUGCGUAGAUAUGCGGAGGAACACCGAUGGCGAAGGCAAUCCCCUGGGCCUGUACUGACGCUCAUGCACGAAAGCGUGGGGAGCAAACAGGAUUAGAUACCCCAGUAGUCCCUGUCUCUUAUAC